This 274-nucleotide ribosomal RNA is filed under the name uncultured bacterium. Its description in RNAcentral is "partial 16S ribosomal RNA". It matches the Rfam family "Bacterial small subunit ribosomal RNA", at positions 523 to 796 of the family's 1533-position model. The record is from RNAcentral.
AUACGAAGGGGGCAAGCGUUGUUCGGAAUAACUGGGCGUAAAGCGCACGUAGGCGGAUUGAUCAGUUAGAGGUGAAAUCCCAGGGCUCAACCCUGGAACUGCCUUUAAUACUGUCAGUCUAGAGAUCGAGAGAGGUGAGUGGAAUUCCGAGUGUAGAGGUGAAAUUCGUAGAUAUUCGGAGGAACACCAGUGGUGAAGGCGGCUCACUGGCUCGAUACUGACGCUGAGGUGCGAAAGCGUGGGGAGCAAACAGGAUUAGAUACCCCAGUAGUCC